Molecule: long non-coding RNA, 395 nt
Organism: Mastomys coucha (southern multimammate mouse)
Lineage: Eukaryota; Metazoa; Chordata; Mammalia; Rodentia; Muridae
Exons: 3
Source: RefSeq, a predicted model, not a curated record
GAAAUAUUUGCAGUGAGAUCCCAGGACAAAAUAUGAGCAGUGACAGGCCCUCUAGUCAACGGGGUGUCCAGUGAAUAAUCCAAGUACAUUCUAAAAGAGUCUGAAACAAUCAUGAGGACAUCAAUGAUACAUCAUCACACGGGGAUGCAGAGGCACACGGAGUCGGAGAUAACAGGAUCUGCGACAUGGUCAUAGACAUGGUCACACGGGGAUGCAGAGGCGCGCUGAGUCGAAGAUAACAGGAUCUGCAACAUGGUCAUAGACAUGGUCACACGGGGAUGCAGAGGCGCGCUGAGUCGAAGAUAACAGGAUGAAAAGGAAGACUCAACUACUUCUUGUGCUCGCUAAAGUGCAGUAGCAAUAAGACUGAAAUUCUAAAUAAAUCUCCUAUUUGC